RNAcentral lists this ribosomal RNA (388 nucleotides) under Staphylococcus aureus. Its description in RNAcentral is "partial 23S ribosomal RNA". It matches the Rfam family "Bacterial large subunit ribosomal RNA", at positions 1580 to 1969 of the family's 2925-position model. Lineage: Bacteria; Bacillati; Bacillota; Bacilli; Caryophanales; Staphylococcaceae. The record is from RNAcentral.
GUGUCUUCGAGUCGUUGAUUUCACACUGCCGAGAAAAGCCUCUAGAUAGAAAAUAGGUGCCCGUACCGCAAACCGACACAGGUAGUCAAGAUGAGAAUUCUAAGGUGAGCGAGCGAACUCUCGUUAAGGAACUCGGCAAAAUGACCCCGUAACUUCGGGAGAAGGGGUGCUCUUUAGGGUUAACGCCCAGAAGAGCCGCAGUGAAUAGGCCCAAGCGACUGUUUAUCAAAAACACAGGUCUCUGCUAAACCGUAAGGUGAUGUAUAGGGGCUGACGCCUGCCCGGUGCUGGAAGGUUAAGAGGAGUGGUUAGCUUCUGCGAAGCUACGAAUCGAAGCCCCAGUAAACGGCGGCCGUAACUAUAACGGUCCUAAGGUAGCGAAAUUCCU